GGCCGCGGGAAUUCGAUUCAGGCCUAACACAUGCAAGUCGAACGAGACCUUCGGGUCUAGUGGCGCACGGGUGCGUAACGCGUGGGAACCUGCCUUUAGGUUCGGAAUAACUCAGAGAAAUUUGAGCUAAUACCGGAUAAUGUCUUCGGACCAAAGAUUUAUCGCCUUUAGAUGGGCCCGCGUAAGAUUAGCUAGUUGGUGGGGUAAAGGCCUACCAAGGCGACGAUCUUUAGCUGGUCUGAGAGGAUGAUCAGCCACACUGGGACUGAGACACGGCCCAGACUCCUACGGGAGGCAGCAGUGGGGAAUAUUGGAAAAUGGGCGAAAGCCUGAUCCAGCAAUGCCGCGUGAGUUAAAGAGGCCUUAGGGUUGUAAAGCUCUUUACCAGGGAUGAUA
Molecule: ribosomal RNA, 396 nt
Filed under: uncultured bacterium
Lineage: Bacteria
Description: bacterial SSU rRNA
Rfam family: Bacterial small subunit ribosomal RNA
Source: RNAcentral